Molecule: ribosomal RNA, 1288 nt
Filed under: metagenome
Description: bacterial SSU rRNA
Rfam family: Bacterial small subunit ribosomal RNA
Source: RNAcentral
UUAGCUAGUUGGUGAGGUAACGGCUUACCAAGGCGACGAUCUAUAGCGGGUCUGAGAGGAUGAUCCGCCACACUGGAACUGAGACACGGUCCAGACUCCUACGGGAGGCAGCAGUGGGGAAUUUUGGACAAUGGGGGCAACCCUGAUCCAGCCAUGCCGCGUGAGUGAAGAAGGCCUUCGGGUUGUAAAGCUCUUUCGGCCGGGAAGAAAUCGCAUGGGCCAAUACCCUGUGUGGAUGACGGUACCGGAAUAAGAAGCACCGGCUAACUACGUGCCAGCAGCCGCGGUAAUACGUAGGGUGCGAGCGUUAAUCGGAAUUACUGGGCGUAAAGCGUGCGCAGGCGGUUUUGUAAGACAGGCGUGAAAUCCCCGGGCUCAACCUGGGAACUGCGUUUGUGACUGCAAGGCUAGAGUACGGCAGAGGGGGGUGGAAUUCCACGUGUAGCAGUGAAAUGCGUAGAGAUGUGGAGGAACACCAAUGGCGAAGGCAGCCCCCUGGGUCGAUACUGACGCUCAUGCACGAAAGCGUGGGUAGCAAACAGGAUUAGAUACCCUGGUAGUCCACGCCCUAAACUAUGUCAACUAGGUGUUGGGUGGGUAAAACCAUUUAGUACCGUAGCUAACGCGUGAAGUUGACCGCCUGGGGAGUACGGCCGCAAGGUUAAAACUCAAAGGAAUUGACGGGGACCCGCACAAGCGGUGGAUGAUGUGGAUUAAUUCGAUGCAACGCGAAAAACCUUACCUACCCUUGACAUGCCAGGAACUUGCCAGAGAUGGCUUGGUGCCCGAAAGGGAGCCUGGACACAGGUGCUGCAUGGCUGUCGUCAGCUCGUGUCGUGAGAUGUUGGGUUAAGUCCCGCAACGAGCGCAACCCUUGUCGUUAAUUGCCAUCAUUUAGUUGGGCACUUUAGCGAGACUGCCGGUGAUAAACCGGAGGAAGGUGGGGAUGACGUCAAGUCCUCAUGGCCCUUAUGGGUAGGGCUUCACACGUCAUACAAUGGUCGGUACAAAGGGUCGCCAAGCCGCGAGGUGGAGCCAAUCCCAGAAAGCCGAUCGUAGUCCGGAUUGCAGGCUGCAACUCGCCCGCAUGAAGUCGGAAUCGCUAGUAAUCGUGGAUCAGCAUGUCACGGUGAACACGUUCCCGGGUCUUGUACACACCGCCCGUCACACCAUGGGAGCGGGUUCCGCCAGAAGUAGGUAGCCUAACCGUAAGGAGGGCGCUUACCACGGCGGGGUUCGUGACUGGGGUGAAGUCGGAACAAGGUAGCCGUAGGGGAACCUGCGGCUG